This 465-nucleotide ribosomal RNA is filed under the name Vreelandella stevensii. Its description in RNAcentral is "partial 16S ribosomal RNA". It matches the Rfam family "Bacterial small subunit ribosomal RNA", at positions 338 to 795 of the family's 1533-position model. The record is from RNAcentral. Lineage: Bacteria; Pseudomonadati; Pseudomonadota; Gammaproteobacteria; Oceanospirillales; Halomonadaceae.
CCUACGGGGUGCUGCAGUGGGGAAUAUUGGACAAUGGGCGAAAGCCUGAUCCAGCCAUGCCGCGUGUGUGAAGAAGGCCUUCGGGUUGUAAAGCACUUUCAGUGGGGAAGAAAGCCUUGGGGCUAAUACCCUCGAGGAAGGACAUCACCCACAGAAGAAGCACCGGCUAACUCCGUGCCAGCAGCCGCGGUAAUACGGAGGGUGCGAGCGUUAAUCGGAAUUACUGGGCGUAAAGCGCGCGUAGGCGGUCUGAUAAGCCGGUUGUGAAAGCCCCGGGCUCAACCUGGGAACGGCAUCCGGAACUGUCAGGCUAGAGUGCAGGUGAGGAAGGUAGAAUUCCCGGUGUAGCGGUGAAAUGCGUAGAGAUCGGGAGGAAUACCAGUGGUGAAGGCGGCCUUCUGGACUGACACUGACGCUGAGGUGCGAAAGCGUGGGUAGCAAACAGGAUUAGAUACCCGUGUAGUC